Betta splendens (Siamese fighting fish) is the source of this 988-nucleotide long non-coding RNA. RefSeq lists it as uncharacterized. The transcript is spliced from 6 exons. Lineage: Eukaryota; Metazoa; Chordata; Actinopteri; Anabantiformes; Osphronemidae. The record is from RefSeq and is a predicted model, not a curated record.
UUAAGCUCAUGUUCAAUUUGUAAUGCCUCUCCCUCUCUGUCACACAGGAAGCUGUAUGGAAGUUGGCUAUACCCCUCUCAUCUGUCAAGAAACGCCUGUUGGCGUUGUGGUGCCCAACAUUUGUAUCCAGUGCUGCUCUCUUCUUUUCCGCUGCCCAUCCGUCCAGUUGGCCUGCCAUUCGAGGCCAGAAAUGGUGAGGUGUUUUGAGAGGUUGCUAAUGGCGCCCUCUUGUGGCCGAUUUAAGGCCAAGCACCGUCUGUCUAUGUCUGUGUGUGUGUCUUGUGGAACAAAUGUCAGGCCCCUCUCCAGCAGGCUCAGCUGUGUGGCAGUUGGCCAAAAGAGCUCAGAAAGGUUGAGGACAUUUGAGUGGGAAGAGCCACUGUCCUCCCUUCUGUUGUGCGUGUGUGAGGCAGGAGGCUCGAGCCUCCUGACCUCAGUGCUCUGGUUGGAGUUGGGGCCUACUGUAAAUUUAAGCUCAGCUUUUGACACCAGAGGUCGAAGAUGCUGUGUGCCGUGGCCGUGGUCCAAUGGAUGUUAUCUGCUCUGGUUCUGAACCGGUCCUGUGGGAUUCUAGGCAAUGAAGCCCGCCCAAAGUGCCCCUGCCGUGAGGACUCCAGCCGCACUGCUACCGAGGUGUUUUUGGAGCCUGGACCGAUCAAGGUGUCUGGGCGGCUGGCUCCCUGGCAGGGGGGCGGAUGGCACGGCUGAGUGACCUGGAGGACAGAGGUCAGCAGAGGAUGGGGAAAGCUGGUCAAUGUCACCUGUGGACUUGCUGGUUUGAUGAACCCGGACAGCUUUCUGACCUGCCUCAUCAUGCCUGCGGGAGGAGUGCCGGUAGAUAUGGCCCGGUAAGGAGUUGUGGGUGUAAGUGUUAUUGUGUGAGCCCUCUGGAUUUUCCUCUCUGUGGCCUAGGUCACAUUGAGCAACAGUCUCCCCAUAGUGAGCCCCACCGUCCAUAUUGGAGGUCCUACCUUUAGCCUUGUUGUGG